This is a non-coding RNA of Vigna umbellata (rice bean), 649 nucleotides long. Lineage: Eukaryota; Viridiplantae; Streptophyta; Magnoliopsida; Fabales; Fabaceae. The record is from RefSeq and is a predicted model, not a curated record.
GUAUGAAAUGUACAUGAAAGGUAAGAAGUCAAUUUCUUCAUGUCAAAAUCCGAACAUAAAUGUAGGCCAAAUUGUUGAUGGAAGAAAAGAUGCUUGGAGGAGAGAUUUUGCAAAACAUCAGAUUGCAAGGAAAAAUGAACCAUCAAAUUAUAGGUUAGAACUUGAUUAUUACUUGGAGGAAUCGACACUACCAGAUUCAGAUGAAGAAUUUGACAUUUUAAUUUGGUGGAAGACUAAUGGAUUAAAAUAUCCAAUCUUACAAAUGAUUGCAAGAGAUUUUCUAGUCAUUCCUAUCUCAACAGUUGCUUCUGAGUCUUCUUUUAGCACUAGUGGUCGAUUUCUUACUCCACAUCGGAGUAGAUUACACCCAGACACUUUAGAGGCAUUGAUGUGUGUUCAAGAUUGACUAUGGAGUGACAUACAAGGUUCUUCAAAAUUGAAAGUGGAUAACAUGAAGCUUAAUACAAUACUAGAGGAGAUAAUUGAUGAUAAUGAAUUAAGUGGUCAAAAUGAAGAUGUAGAAGAACAAACAUAAAUCUUGCAGUGUUAUUUUUAGAACAAUUAUUUGAAUUUAAGUUUUAAUUUGUACUAAUUUGAAUUAAUUUAUAUUAAUUUGAAUUAUUUUUACUAUUAAUUUGUAUUAAUUUGA